AUUAAAUCUUAACCCCUAAUAAUUCCUAAACCCUAAGUCAAAUCUUAAAUAAAUCUUAAAUUAAACCCUAUUCCAAACCCUAAAUCCUAAACCAAACUCUAAAUCAAACCCUAAUCCAAUCCUAAAUCCUAAACCAAACCUUAAAUCAAACCCUAACCAAAUCCUAAUCCAAACCCUAAAUCAAACCCUAACCAAAUCCUAAAUCCUAAUCCAAAUCCUAAUUCAAAUCCUAAUCCAGCCCUAAACUCUAAUCCAAAUUCUAAACCCUAAACCAAACCUUAAAUCAAACCCUAACCAAAAUCUAAUCCAUAUCCUAAUCCAAAUCCUAAAUCAAACCCUAACCAAAUCCUAAACCCUAAUCCAAACCCUAAUCGAAAUCCUAAACCGAA
This 389-nucleotide long non-coding RNA is filed under the name Physcomitrium patens. RNAcentral describes it as "long non-coding RNA (PPAT_LNC000717)". Lineage: Eukaryota; Viridiplantae; Streptophyta; Bryopsida; Funariales; Funariaceae. The record is from RNAcentral.